This 155-nucleotide long non-coding RNA is filed under the name Stegodyphus dumicola. RNAcentral's name for it is "uncharacterized LOC118184344". Lineage: Eukaryota; Metazoa; Arthropoda; Arachnida; Araneae; Eresidae. The record is from RNAcentral.
AAAAACUAAGAAAAACUGCAGUACCAACACUCUUUAGCAUUCCAAAUCCACCACCAUCUGUAACUGACAAGAGGAUAAGAGAAGUAAGAUGUCCUAAGCCAAAUACUGAAGUGGAAACUCUACCUGCUUCAAAUGAAGAGUUGUUAAAAAAAAAA